RNAcentral lists this transfer RNA (81 nucleotides) under Apaloderma vittatum (bar-tailed trogon). It matches the Rfam family "tRNA". Rfam says of the family: Transfer RNA (tRNA) molecules are approximately 80 nucleotides in length. Their secondary structure includes four short double-helical elements and three loops (D, anti-codon, and T loops). Further hydrogen bonds mediate the characteristic L-shaped molecular structure. tRNAs have two regions of fundamental functional importance: the anti-codon, which is responsible for specific mRNA codon recognition, and the 3' end, to which the tRNAs corresponding amino acid is attached (by aminoacyl-tRNA synthetases). tRNAs cope with the degeneracy of the genetic code in two manners: having more than one tRNA (with a specific anti-codon) for a particular amino acid; and 'wobble' base-pairing, i.e. permitting non-standard base-pairing at the 3rd anti-codon position. The record is from Rfam by way of RNAcentral. Lineage: Eukaryota; Metazoa; Chordata; Aves; Trogoniformes; Trogonidae.
GGCCGGUUGGCUCAGUCAGUCGAGCGUAGCGCUAACAACACUAACAACGCCGAGGUCGCGGGUUCGAUUCCCGCUCGGUCC